CAGCAGCCGCGGUAAUACGGAGGGGGCUAGCGUUGUUCGGAAUUACUGGGCGUAAAGCGCACGUAGGCGGCUUGGUAAGUUAGAGGUGAAAGCCCGGAGCUCAACUCCGGAAUUGCCUUUAAGACUGCCGAGCUAGUAGGUGAGAGAGGUAAGUGGAAUUCCGAGUGUAGAGGUGAAGUUCGUAGAUAUUCGGAAGAACACCAGUGGCGAAGGCGGCUUACUGGCUCAUUCUAGACGCUGAGGUGCGAAAGCGUGGGGAGCAAACAGGAUUAGAUACCCCUGUAGUCCCUGUCUCUUAUAC
This 301-nucleotide ribosomal RNA is filed under the name uncultured bacterium. RNAcentral describes it as "partial 16S ribosomal RNA". It matches the Rfam family "Bacterial small subunit ribosomal RNA", at positions 509 to 807 of the family's 1533-position model. The record is from RNAcentral.